Non-coding RNA from Angiostrongylus cantonensis (rat lungworm), 74 nucleotides. NCBI's taxonomy places the organism in Eukaryota, Metazoa, Nematoda, Chromadorea, Rhabditida, Metastrongylidae. The record is from Rfam.
GCCGCCAUAGCUCAGUCGGUUAGAGCGUGGGUCUAAUAAGCCCAAGGUCGCAGGAUAGACCCCCGCUGGCGGCA